This 548-nucleotide ribosomal RNA is filed under the name Epomops franqueti (Franquet's epauletted bat). RNAcentral describes it as "partial 16S ribosomal RNA". It matches the Rfam family "Bacterial large subunit ribosomal RNA", at positions 1823 to 2597 of the family's 2925-position model. The record is from RNAcentral. Lineage: Eukaryota; Metazoa; Chordata; Mammalia; Chiroptera; Pteropodidae.
CACUUCUAGCAUUACAAUUAUUGGAGGCACUGCCUGUCCAGUGACAUCCGUUAAACGGCCGCGGUAUCCUGACCGUGCAAAGGUAGCAUAAUCAUUUGUUCUUUAAAUAAGGACUUGUAUGAAUGGCCACACGAGGGUUUUACUGUCUCUUACUUCCAAUCAGUGAAAUUGACCUUCCCGUGAAGAGGCGGGAAUCCACAAAUAAGACGAGAAGACCCUAUGGAGCUUUAAUUAAUCAGCCCACAAAAUAAACAUCACACUUCCAAGGAAAAUAAACUGACUUUUACUGGACUGACAAUUUAGGUUGGGGUGACCUCGGAAUAUAAAACAACUCCCGAGUGACAUAGUUUAGACUAACGAGUCGAAACUUUCUAUCAUUCAGUGAUCCAAUUUCUUUUGAUCAACGGAACAAGUUACCCUAGGGAUAACAGCGCAAUCCUAUUUGAGAGUCCAUAUCGACAAUAGGGUUUACGACCUCGAUGUUGGAUCAGGACAUCCCAAUGGUGCAGCCGCUAUUAAUGGUUCGUUUGUUCAACGAUUAAAGUCCU